RNAcentral lists this ribosomal RNA (427 nucleotides) under uncultured bacterium. RNAcentral describes it as "partial 16S ribosomal RNA". It matches the Rfam family "Bacterial small subunit ribosomal RNA", at positions 355 to 774 of the family's 1533-position model. The record is from RNAcentral.
UGGGGAAUAUUGCACAAUGGGCGCAAGCCUGAUGCAGCCAUGCCGCGUGUAUGAAGAAGGCCUUCGGGUUGUAAAGUACUUUCAGCGGGGAGGAAGGUGUUGAGGUUAAUAACCUCAGCAAUUGACGUUACCCGCAGAAGAAGCACCGGCUAACUCCGUGCCAGCAGCCGCGGUAAUACGGAGGGUGCAAGCGUUAAUCGGAAUUACUGGGCGUAAAGCGCACGCAGGCGGUCUGUCAAGUCGGAUGUGAAAUCCCCGGGCUCAACCUGGGAACUGCAUUCGAAACUGGCAGGCUAGAGUCUUGUAGAGGGGGGUAGAAUUCCAGGUGUAGCGGUGAAAUGCGUAGAGAUCUGGAGGAAUACCGGUGGCGAAGGCGGCCACCUGGACAAAGACUGACGCUCAGGUGCGAAAGCGUGGGGAGCAAACA